AUAUUUUUAUAGCUCAUAAGCAUGGUGAUUGGGUGUUCAUGCCCUUCUGUGAGAUGUGCCUCCUUCAAACCUUGUUACGGCAUUGGCACAUUACCCGUCCAAUG
Molecule: small nucleolar RNA, 104 nt
Organism: Pteronotus mesoamericanus
Lineage: Eukaryota; Metazoa; Chordata; Mammalia; Chiroptera; Mormoopidae
Product: small nucleolar RNA U13
Exons: 1
Source: RefSeq, a predicted model, not a curated record